GGGCGUGGAAGGGUAACUGGUGUGCCCCCUGGUCUUCAAAACCUGUGUUGGGCGUUAAGAGCGUCCUGGGUGGGUUCGAUUCCCACACACGUCCGCCA
RNAcentral lists this transfer RNA (98 nucleotides) under Lachnospiraceae bacterium. RNAcentral's name for it is "tRNA-Sec". It matches the Rfam family "Selenocysteine transfer RNA". The record is from RNAcentral. Lineage: Bacteria; Bacillati; Bacillota; Clostridia; Lachnospirales; Lachnospiraceae.